Molecule: long non-coding RNA, 3942 nt
Organism: Papaver somniferum (opium poppy)
Lineage: Eukaryota; Viridiplantae; Streptophyta; Magnoliopsida; Ranunculales; Papaveraceae
Exons: 3
Source: RefSeq, a predicted model, not a curated record
UUAAGCCUUAAAGUAUUAUAUGUUCUAUAUAGUUUAGGCUUACAGGAACUCAAAAGAACCAUUUUUCAGUUUUGUGUAUUGCGUGAAAGACAACAGAAGUACCGUUGCGCUAUUUUGUCUCUCUCGAAUACUUUAUCCUCACGGCUCUAAUUCCCGGAAUACCAGAUCGUUAACGUUAACAACACAUCUGAUCUCGUUUUUUUACUUAUUCUACUCCUUCUGCCCAUUUAUGGAUUGAAUACACAUUUUAUAAAUAAUUGAAUCACCGAUCAGAUAUAUAUGAUUCAGAAGCUUGCAGAGAGUAAUAACUAAAGAGAGUUUGAUCGCAAAAUGAGUACUGUUGGUGAGGUUCGUCGUGUCUCUACAACAAAAGUAUGGCCAACAAGUUAUUACAUCCAUAAGUCUACUGAUCAUAAUAACCAUAAGCGGAUUGAUUUAAAUCCAUGGGAUGUAGAAUUUUUGCGACUGGUAUAGAUGCAAAGCAGCAAAGGUGUCUUCUCUUCGCUAAGCCGCACAAUCAUCAUUACCCUGCAGGCGACAAGAUGAAGAAGAAAUAACUAACAGUAAUUUUAUCAAUAACAUGAUAAGUCAUCUUAAAACUUCUUUGUCAUAUACACUUGAUCAUAUCAAUCCUCUAGCUGGUCAUCUUGGCAUCCAAAAAAACGAAGAUGAUAACACGAUCUCCAACUAUGAGGGUGCAGGUUUCAUUCAUGCCACUGCAGACUUAUCGAUCUAUCCUCUAGCUGGUCAUGCUGGCAUCCAAAAAAACGAAGAUGUUAACACGAUCUCCAACUAUGAGGGUGCAGGUUUCAUUCAUGCCACUGCAGACUUAUCGAUAGAGGACAUCGUCGCUCAGCCUUACGUCCGUCCAAGCAUAAUAGAUUCAUCGUUUCCCCCUUGUUAUUUACCUCUGGUAAAUAGGUGGGCAUCCAAACCAUCACUGGUUGGCAAUUUGUAUUUCAAUCAUAAAAUAAUAUAUGGAAGAUCCUUGUAAUCCCCUUGUCCAAUGUGGGAUUAUUUGUUGAGGCUGAUCAGAUAUAUUAUCAUAUUUCUGUGUCAACUUCUUUAAUCAGCACCAUCUUUACAAGCGCAGCUUUUCUUCAUUAUGCAAAUUAUGUUACUCCAGCGACUGGUUCUCCACCUCUUUCUCUAGAGCAAGUAAUGAAGUUGGUAAAUUGGCAUCCCUUCUCAUCGUUCUCAAACAUCAACUGCACAUACAAAGUUAGGGACCUUUAAUCAAGAUGUAGGGUGUAUUGAAUCUUUAAUUUUUAAGGAUCGAAUGUCCCCUCAAAGGCACUUCCCACUAUGAGUUUCAAGUUUUGAAUUGAUAUAAUGCCAGUGAGGUCGAUCAUGCAAAAGUCAUUUCGCAAUGGAUCAUCUUAAUAUUUUCGGAGACCAGGAACCAUCCAAUUUGAAAGUUUCAGAGGUCCACAACUGCUAGAUAUUCGUGUUGGAUCCGAAUGUGGUCGCCCAUAUUGUAUGUGGCAGGUCCGUAGAGUUCCAUAUUCCUUAGGGUUUGGAAUAUAUAUAAGCAUCUCUAACAUGUGUAGAAGUAAGUGAUUCCCACGAUAUCACACCCAAGUUUUACCAUUAGAAAAGUGGUAACUCUAACCCUAAAAGAGAGUUACCAUCAGGAGAAAAGGUUUCAAGUUCUUAUAUUGUGAAUCAAGUUUGUGCUCAUUUUUGGUGAUUGUAGUACCUGUUGAUCGUCGUGUUGAAUUGUUGUUGUUGCUGCUGUUGUUCCUUGUUCUUGCUAAUCGGAGUUCAAGUUCAAGAGGUUGCAUGAGUGAGAUAACGUCUCCCGAAGUUGGCCAUGCGCGUCUGUACGCUGCUGAAAUUUGGAGAAGACGAUGAACAGUAACCGAGUCAAAUCGGCGAGUCGACCCGAAUUAAAUAGGUGAGUCAACCCGAUCCAGGAUCGGUGGUUCGGUUCGUGGUUCAGAGCGGUUGUUAGGUUCGAGGUUCAGACCAUCUGUUCGGUCCGCAGUUCAGGCCGGUGGUUCGGUUCGCUGUCCAGACCGAGUUAUUUGUUUUCAUUUGUUUCUCUAUUUGUGGUUGCCGGAUCAACUCCAAUUUUGGUACCCUAAGACUAAAUGGCAUCCAAGAACAUCAUUGUUGAUUUGAAUAAGGGAGAAAAACUUGAUGGCGACAAAUAUAACAUCUGGCGUCGAAAGAUCGUUUUUCUUCUGCAUGAUGAUGGGCUGCAGGAAAUGACUGAGCAUGUGAUUCCUCGGCCUGAGGAGGGUACAAAGUCUCAACACCAUCGCAACCUUGAGGCUUACCAGGAAUGGAUUAAGAAGGAUCUCAGUGCUCGUCAUAUGAUCCUGAGAUCAAUGCACAAUGAUCUCAUUGGCGAGUUUGAGAACCACCAGUUUGCUCAUGACAUGUUAGAGGCAGUCAGGCAGAAAUUUGGAGUUACCUCUGUGGCUAAGUUGUGUGCUUUAACAAUGAAGUUUGACACUUUUCAAAAGAAGACGAAUGUUACAAUGAAGCAACAUUUGAGGACAAUGUCGUCAAUGAUAUGCGAACUUUAGGCUGCAGGUCAUCACUUGACAGAUGAACAACAGGUACAAGCUUUUAUUCGUUCGUUACCUAACUCUUGGGAUCAGAUGAAGCAAACCAUGACACAUAAUGACAAUGUCCGUACUUUUGAGGAUAUUUCUCGUCGUGUGGAACUAGAGGUCGAGCGCUUGGAAGAUGCUAAGACUGACAGUUCUGUUUUCGCUGCUGAAUCUGUUUUGCAUAAGACCAAUGGGUCUAAGCGCGAGAGGGGUAAGGGUUCUUCUGCUAAGAAUCCUCGUGAUGGAUCUGGCUCAUCCACUACCAAAGCUCCUAAGCGCAAAAGCAUGCUGGUAAGAAAUGCUUUGAAUGUCAUAAUAAGAACUGACACUUGGCUCGUGAAUGCACUGAGCCAAAGAAGGUAAUUUCUGAACCUCUUCCUCGCUAUGAAUGUUUUGUUUCUAGUCAAGCAUUAGUUGCUCUUUUUGGGGAGAUGCGUUACCGAAUGUUGCCUAUGUCCUUAAUCGUGUGCCUUCGAAGUCAAUGCCUUCCACCCCAUAUGAAUUAUGGACCGGCAGAAAACCUAAAUUGGGUAAUUUGCGACCAUGGGGUUCAGCUUCUUAUGUACACAAUAGUUCUCAUUGGUAUGGGAAACUGGGGCCUCGAGCGAAAAAGGUAUAUCUUUAUCAGAUAUUCUAAUCACUCAAAAGGCCAUUUGUUCAUUGGUGAACAACCUGAUGGAAGUGUUACUGAGAUUGAGCCACGUGAUGUAGAUUUCCUAGAACAGGAUUUUCCUAGAAGGAACGAGGUAGGGGAGAUAUUAGCCUCUUUUAGGUAGAAGAGUUAAUGGAAGACGCACCAAUUCGUCUAGUUGAGAAUAGCGAAGAAAUUCCUCGUUUUCCUAGGGAAAGUGGAAGUGUUCCACCUGAUAAUGGAUUGGCUCCAUCAAAUCAGGAUCCCCAAUCUCGGAGAAGUGAACGUGGAAAAAUCCCUCGUCGUCGUUUUCAGAUUAAGGGGGAAAGUUUCAUGGUUUUUUCACAUGAUGACGCAGAGCCUAAGAAUUUCAAAGAGGCUAUGUCAUAUCCUAAAAGGGAAAAUGGAUUAUUGCACAGAAAAAAGAAAUAUAAUCAAUGAGGAUAAAUGGUGUAUGGCAAUACGUUGACCUCCUAGAAGGGCGCAAGGUUGUUGGAAAAAAAAGGGUUUUCAAAGCCAAACGCAAUGCGGAUGGUUUAGAUGAAAGAUAUACGGCUCGCCUUGUGGCGAAAGGCUACACCAAACAGGAGGGUGUUGACUACGAGGAAACUUUCUCCCCUGUGGUGAGAACUUCCUCGAUACGCCUUAUGAUAGCUAUUGUCUGAUGUGAUUUGUUGAUAAUGGUAAAAAUGGUUCGAUUCUCAGACUUGUGAAGGAUAUUAAUUAGACUUAAAUUAUAAUAUUAAAAUA